RNAcentral lists this ribosomal RNA (473 nucleotides) under uncultured bacterium. RNAcentral describes it as "bacterial SSU rRNA". It matches the Rfam family "Bacterial small subunit ribosomal RNA", at positions 23 to 491 of the family's 1533-position model. The record is from RNAcentral.
CUCAGAUUGAACGCUGGCGGCAUGCUUUACACAUGCAAGUCGAACGGGCUUGGGGGCUUGCUCCCAAGUUAGUGGCGAACGGGUGAGUAAUACAUCGGAACGUACCGUGUAGUGGGGGAUAACGUAGCGAAAGUUACGCUAAUACCGCAUACGAUCUACGGAUGAAAGCAGGGGACCUUCGGGGCCUUGUGCUAUACGAGCGGCCGAUGUCUGAUUAGCUAGUUGGUGAGGUAAAAGGCUCACCAAGGCGACGAUCAGUAGCGGGUCUGAGAGGAUGAUCCGCCACACUGGGACUGAGACACGGCCCAGACUCCUACGGGAGGCAGCAGUGGGGAAUUUUGGACAAUGGGCGAAAGCCUGAUCCAGCCAUGCCGCGUGUCUGAAGAAGGCCUUCGGGUUGUAAAGGACUUUUGUCAGGGAGCAAAACUUACUGGUUAAUACCCGGUGAGGCUGAGAGUACCUGAAGAAUAAGC